Molecule: ribosomal RNA, 210 nt
Filed under: Triticum aestivum (bread wheat)
Lineage: Eukaryota; Viridiplantae; Streptophyta; Magnoliopsida; Poales; Poaceae
Description: partial small subunit ribosomal RNA
Source: RNAcentral
AUGUCGGCCACGACGGGGGCGGUGCCGUUCUGGCGAACGGCGGGGAUGACCUACAUCGGCUACUCCAGGCUCUGCGCGUCCAUGGUGCGGAGCUGCCUCAAGGAGCCCUACAAGUCCGAGGCCGCCGAGGUCGAGAAGGUCCACUACUCCCGCUCCAAGUGGUCUGACGGAAAGCAGCCCAAGCCCACCAUCUGCGAAGAUGAUAAAUGA